RNAcentral lists this ribosomal RNA (425 nucleotides) under uncultured bacterium. RNAcentral describes it as "partial 16S ribosomal RNA". It matches the Rfam family "Bacterial small subunit ribosomal RNA", at positions 354 to 796 of the family's 1533-position model. The record is from RNAcentral.
GUGGGGAAUCUUAGACAAUGGGGGAAACCCUGAUCUAGCCAUGCCGCGUGAGCGAUGAAGGCCUUAGGGUUGUAAAGCUCUUUCAGCUGGUAAGAUAAUGACGGUACCAGCAGAAGAAGCCCCGGCUAACUCCGUGCCAGCAGCCGCGGUAAUACGGAGGGGGCUAGCGUUGUUCGGAAUUACUGGGCGUAAAGCGCGCGUAGGCGGACCAGAAAGUUGGAGGUGAAAUCCCAGGGCUCAACCUUGGAACUGCCUUCAAAACUCCUGGUCUGGAGUUCGAGAGAGGUGAGUGGAAUUCCGAGUGUAGAGGUGAAAUUCGUAGAUAUUCGGAGGAACACCAGUGGCGAAGGCGGCUCACUGGCUCGAUACUGACGCUGAGGUGCGAAAGCGUGGGGAGCAAACAGGAUUAGAAACCCGAGUAGUCC